UCCGUAGGUGAACCUGCGGAAGGAUCAGUCUUGAAUUCGCACAAGCUGAUGCCGUCGGAUGCGGCACGCUCCCGUGCCGCUCGGCGUGCGUCGGGGAGGUCGGUCGCAGCCAUGCGUGCCGGCGUCUAAUCCCUGAUGUGGGCAUUUUGUCCACGUUAAACGGAGCGAGGGCUCAGCCCCGCCCCGUGCUUCAGACGGUCGUGUCGGGUCUGGAGCGCGUGUCCCUACCGAACAUGCAUAAACACACGGGACGCACAGACGUCGCUCCGGCGACGGGCCACGGCCAUACCAUCCACACAGACUAUACACAUAUCAGAUCAGUUCAUUACAACUGGUAGCGUUGGAUCCCUCGGCAUGGCUAUCGAUGAAGAACGCGGCCAGCUGCGAAAUGUGAUGUGAAUUGCAACUCAAAGCGGUUAUCGUGAAUCAUUGACUAUUUGAACGCAUUGCACCGCCCUUAUGGGAGUGGUACGCCCGAUUGAGAGUCAUAAACGACCUUCAGGCCUCGCCGUCCGACCGUUCGCUCGGUGGCCGGCCGUGUCCGCCGCAGCCCAUCUCCUCGGAGGUGGUGGAGGUGCACGGCUGGGGACGACGGGGUGCUGGUUCCGAGGCCUGCACGGCUUGCGAGCCGCGCGCCUUCAGAUGCAUUAGCGGCUGCCCCGAGAGCAAGUCCGACUCCGUGUAAUGAAACACAUGUCGCGCGGAGGAGUGCCCCUGGUGCACACUUGCGAUCGUCGCGACCGCUCCGAACCUGCCUCCGGGCGAAAGAGCCGCCGCUGUUGCACCCCGUGUGCCCGUGGUGUGUGGCUCAAUCAUGACAUUGGCCUCAGUUGGGUGGGAUUACUCGCUUGAUUUAAGCAUAU
This 863-nucleotide ribosomal RNA is filed under the name uncultured Cantharellales. RNAcentral's name for it is "eukaryotic LSU rRNA". The stretch from base 330 to 488 matches the Rfam family "5.8S ribosomal RNA". The record is from RNAcentral. Lineage: Eukaryota; Fungi; Basidiomycota; Agaricomycetes; Cantharellales.